RNAcentral lists this ribosomal RNA (454 nucleotides) under uncultured bacterium. RNAcentral describes it as "bacterial SSU rRNA". It matches the Rfam family "Bacterial small subunit ribosomal RNA", at positions 340 to 786 of the family's 1533-position model. The record is from RNAcentral.
UACGGAAGGAGCAGUGGGGAAUAUUGCACAAUGGGCGCAAGCCUGAUGCAGCCAUGCCGCGUGUAUGAAGAAGGCCUUCGGGUUGUAAAGUACUUUCAGUCGUGAGGAAGGUGUUAAGGUUAAUAACCUUAGCAAUUGACGUUAGCGACAGAAGAAGCACCGGCUAACUCCGUGCCAGCAGCCGCGGUAAUACGGAGGGUGCGAGCGUUAAUCGGAAUUACUGGGCGUAAAGGGCACGCAGGCGGUUAAUUAAGUUGGAUGUGAAAUCCCCGGGCUUAACCUGGGAAUGGCAUUCAAGACUGGUUAGCUAGAGUCUUGUAGAGGAGGGUAGAAUUCCAUGUGUAGCGGUGAAAUGCGUAGAGAUGUGGAGGAAUACCGGUGGCGAAGGCGGCCCCUGGGACAAAGACUGACGCUCAUGUGCGAAAGCGUGGGGAGCAAACGAGGAUUAGAUACC